UACGGGGGGGGCAAGCGUUGUUCGGAAUUACUGGGCGUAAAGGGUUCGUAGGUGGCUUGCUAAGUCAGACGUGAAAUCCCUCAGCUUAACUGGGGAACUGCGUCUGAGACUGGCGAGCUUGAGGGCAGGAGAGGAACGCGGAAUUCCAGGUGUAGCGGUGAAAUGCAUAGAUAUGCCAUAGAACACCAAUUGCGAAGGCAGCUGGCUAGACCUGGAUUGACGCUGAGGCACGAAAGCGUGGGGAGCGAACAGG
This 253-nucleotide ribosomal RNA is filed under the name uncultured bacterium. RNAcentral's name for it is "partial 16S ribosomal RNA". It matches the Rfam family "Bacterial small subunit ribosomal RNA", at positions 524 to 776 of the family's 1533-position model. The record is from RNAcentral.